Long non-coding RNA from Triticum dicoccoides, 337 nucleotides. RefSeq lists it as uncharacterized. Lineage: Eukaryota; Viridiplantae; Streptophyta; Magnoliopsida; Poales; Poaceae. The transcript is spliced from 3 exons. The record is from RefSeq and is a predicted model, not a curated record.
AUGCAACGCUGGGCGAUGGUUCUGCUGUCCUAGGUGAAGAGGUGGACGGUACUACAAGCGAGGUGCCAUUGGCUGUUGAGGGCACCACCAUUCAAAAAAACAAAAACGCAAGGAGGGCCUGAGACCGAAGAGGUCAGGUGUUGUUGAGUGCUCGCCCUUUUGGACCUUAUCCUUUUGUUUGUGGAUGCGUGAAGAAAUGAUGAAAAUGCUUGAUGAAUCAGCCACAAGAGGAGGAUGAAGCGCUUUUGGUUUAUCGCUGGGCUUUCUAAGUUGGUGCAAAUUUGCAUUGCCCUUAUUGUACAUUAUGUCUGCUCUACCUCAACCAUAUCAGGCAGUA